UACGUAGGUGACAAGCGUUGUUCGGAAUUACUGGGCGUAAAGGGCGCGUAGGCGGUUCGUUAAGUCCUGUGUGAAAUCCCCCGGCUCAACUGGGGAACUGCACAGGAAACUAGCGGGCUUGAGUUCGGGAGAGGGAAGCGGAAUUCCGGGUGUAGCGGUGAAAUGCGUAGAUAUCCGGAGGAACACCGGUGGCGAAGGCGGCUUCCUGGACCGACACUGACGCUGAGGCGCGAAAGCUAGGGGAGCAAACGGG
This 253-nucleotide ribosomal RNA is filed under the name uncultured bacterium. RNAcentral's name for it is "partial 16S ribosomal RNA". It matches the Rfam family "Bacterial small subunit ribosomal RNA", at positions 524 to 776 of the family's 1533-position model. The record is from RNAcentral.